This 1113-nucleotide long non-coding RNA is filed under the name Nicotiana tabacum (common tobacco). RNAcentral describes it as "long non-coding RNA (NTAB_LNC014266)". Lineage: Eukaryota; Viridiplantae; Streptophyta; Magnoliopsida; Solanales; Solanaceae. The record is from RNAcentral.
CCACCCCCCUUCUCGUGGUCUGAUUCUGAUAUGAAGUGGUUUGAUUGACAUUUGCCGCCGGUGACUCCAACCUGUCGGUGUUCUCCGGCGAAAUUGACAGUCAACCUCCUUCCUCUCCCUCGCUGUAAACAAUGGAUCAAUCGUUUUUGCUGAUGCUAACAAAUCUUCUUCAUCUUCAGAACCACCUUGACCCUACCACCUCUCUCCUUUCCGAUUCCAGUUCCUCUUAUUCUUCCUCCAUCGCUUCACCCACCUCCCCUACUUCCCUCCUCACCUCCACCUCUGCCGCCCCUCUCCUCUUCUUCACCAUCGCCUCUGUUCUCUCUUACCUCGCCACCCACCACUCACCCAACAAAAAACCCAAAACUUCACCUAAUAACGACAACAACAACCCCUCUUCUCCAUCUCACGCCGCCGCUGCCGCCGAAUUCUCCGUCUCGGCCUUCCGUGCUCUCUCCACUGAACAUAUUUGGGCCAUGGAAGCUCCUCUCCGUGACGCUCAGUGGCGUUCCCUGUACGGCUUAUCAUAUCCAGUUUUCACCACCGUUGUCGAUAAGCUGAAACCCUACAUUACUCAGUCUCAACUUUGUCUCCCUUCCGAUUACGCCGUUGCUAUGGUACUUUCUAGACUCUUCCACGGCUUUUCUGCUAAAACCCUAGCUACCCGUUAUGGCCUUGAACCUUACCUGAUCUCGAAAAUUACUAACAUGGUUACCCGGCUCUUGGCUACUAAGCUUUACCCUGAAUUUAUCAAGAUUCCGGUGAGUCGCCGCCGUCUAGUGGAGACCACUCAAGGGUUUCAAGAGCUGACUUCACUCCCUAAUAUAUGCGGAGCUAUUGAUGGAACGGCCGUUAGGCUGCAACAUCUACCGUCAGACACAGUUAACUCUUCUAUGUACUUUAGUAAAUAUGGAUUCCCCUCCGUAUUGCUUCAGGUUGUUGCUGAUCACAAGAAGAUAUUUUGGGAUGUUUGUGUGAAAGCCCCGGGGGGAUUUGAUGAUGCUACGCAUUUUAGGGAUAGUUUGUUGUAUAACAGGUUGAUUUCUGGUGAUAUUGUUUGGGACAAAGGGGUUAUUGUUAGGGGACAACAUGUGAGGCCUUAUAUUGUUGGGG